This 129-nucleotide small nucleolar RNA is filed under the name Dasypus novemcinctus (nine-banded armadillo). Its description in RNAcentral is "Small nucleolar RNA SNORA31 (ENSDNOG00000032270.1)". It matches the Rfam family "Small nucleolar RNA SNORA31". Rfam says of the family: ACA31 (SNORA31) belongs to the H/ACA class of snoRNAs which are thought to guide the sites of modification of uridines to pseudouridines. ACA31 is predicted to guide the pseudouridylation of U3713 in 28S rRNA and U218 in 18S rRNA. This family includes the mouse homologue snoMBI-161. The record is from RNAcentral. Lineage: Eukaryota; Metazoa; Chordata; Mammalia; Cingulata; Dasypodidae.
ACGCAUCUCAGACAGACCUGGAGCAGUUAAUGUCUGCUGCUAAGGUUUCAACUACAGAUGCAAGAAAAAGAAGGUCCUCAUGCUUUCUGUGUUUUUGUGGCAACCGAGAUUGAAUGGGGGAAUACAGGA